CCUACGGGGGGCAGCAGUGGGGAAUAUUGCACAAUGGGCGCAAGCCUGAUGCAGCCAUGCCGCGUGUGUGAAGAAGGCCUUCGGGUUGUAAAGCACUUUCAGCGGGGAGGAAGGCGUUAAGGUUAAUAACCUUGUCGAUUGACGUUACCCGCAGAAGAAGCACCGGCUAACUCCGUGCCAGCAGCCGCGGUAAUACGGAGGGUGCAAGCGUUAAUCGGAAUUACUGGGCGUAAAGCGCACGCAGGCGGUCUGUCAAGUCGGAUGUGAAAUCCCCGGGCUCAACCUGGGAACUGCAUUCGAAACUGGCAGGCUAGAGUCUUGUAGAGGGGGGUAGAAUUCCAGGUGUAGCGGUGAAAUGCGUAGAGAUCUGGAGGAAUACCGGUGGCGAAGGCGGCCCCCUGGACAAAGACUGACGCUCAGGUGCGAAAGCGUGGGGGGCAAACAGGAUUAGAUACCCCGGUAGUC
Molecule: ribosomal RNA, 465 nt
Filed under: uncultured Klebsiella sp.
Lineage: Bacteria; Pseudomonadati; Pseudomonadota; Gammaproteobacteria; Enterobacterales; Enterobacteriaceae
Description: bacterial SSU rRNA
Rfam family: Bacterial small subunit ribosomal RNA
Source: RNAcentral